CAGUAGCCACGGUAAUACGUAGGGCGCAAGCGUUAUCCGGAAUUAUUGGGCGUAAAGAGCUCGUAGGCGGUUUGUCGCGUCUGCCGUGAAAGUCCGGGGCUCAACCCCGGAUCUGCGGUGGGUACGGGCAGACUAGAGUGAUGUAGGGGAGACUGGAAUUCCUGGUGUAGCGGUGAAAUGCGCAGAUAUCAGGAGGAACACCGAUGGCGAAGGCAGGUCUCUGGGCAUUAACUGACGCUGAGGAGCGAAAGCAUGGGGAGCGAACAGGAUUAGAUACCCCGGUAGUCCCUGUCUCUUAUAA
Molecule: ribosomal RNA, 301 nt
Filed under: uncultured bacterium
Lineage: Bacteria
Description: partial 16S ribosomal RNA
Rfam family: Bacterial small subunit ribosomal RNA
Source: RNAcentral